This 253-nucleotide ribosomal RNA is filed under the name uncultured bacterium. Its description in RNAcentral is "partial 16S ribosomal RNA". It matches the Rfam family "Bacterial small subunit ribosomal RNA", at positions 524 to 776 of the family's 1533-position model. The record is from RNAcentral.
UACGUAGGUGGCAAGCGCUAUCCGGAUUUAUUGGGUGUAAAGGGCGUGUAGGCGGGAGCGCAAGUCAGAUGUGAAAACUCAGGGCUCAACCCUGAGCCUGCAUUUGAAACUGUGUUUCUUGAGUGCUGGAGAGGCAAUCGGAAUUCCGUGUGUAGCGGUGAAAUGCGUAGAUAUACGGAGGAACACCAGUGGCGAAGGCGGAUUGCUGGACAGUAACUGACGCUGAGGCGCGAAAGCGUGGGGAGCAAACAGG